This 579-nucleotide unclassified non-coding RNA is filed under the name Hevea brasiliensis (rubber tree). Lineage: Eukaryota; Viridiplantae; Streptophyta; Magnoliopsida; Malpighiales; Euphorbiaceae. The record is from RNAcentral.
AUUCUGCGUGCUUUCGGUGCUGAGUUGGUGCUUACUGACCCAGCAAAAGGGAUGAAAGGUGCAAUUUCGAAGGCCGAAGAGAUAAGGGGCAAAACACCUAACUCCUAUAUUCUUCAGCAAUUUGAAAACCCUGCUAACCCAAAGAUACACUAUGAAACCACUGGUCCUGAGAUCUGGAAAGGCUCAAACGGGAAAGUGGAUGCACUAGUCUCUGGAAUUGGAACAGGAGGCACAAUAACAGGUUCAGGCAAGUAUUUGAGAGAGCAGAACCCCAACAUCAAGCUGUAUGGCGUGGAACCAGUUGAAAGUGCUAUCCUUUCUGGUGGAAAGCCUGGUCCACAUAAGAUUCAGGGGAUUGGUGCUGGUUUCGUUCCUGGUGUUUUGGAAGUUAACCUUAUUGACGAUGUAGUUCAGGUUUCAAGUGAUGAAUCCAUAGAAAUGGCUAAGCUUCUGGCAUUGAAGGAAGGAUUGCUAGUGGGAAUAUCAUCUGGUGCUGCUGCUGCUGCGGCAAUUAAAGUUGCUAAGCGUCCUGAAAAUGCUGGGAAGCUCAUUGUUGUUGUUUUCCCAAGCUUCGGGGAG